RNAcentral lists this long non-coding RNA (468 nucleotides) under Ficedula albicollis (Collared flycatcher). RNAcentral's name for it is "lncRNA (ENSFALG00000024304.1)". The record is from RNAcentral. Lineage: Eukaryota; Metazoa; Chordata; Aves; Passeriformes; Muscicapidae.
AUAGCUCCUUGUUCCAGCAGUACUGAAUUAAUUCUGCUCCUUCUUUUUCCCAGCCAAGGAGGCCCCUGCAGUCUGGAGGACAAGGACCAGUGUGGAUUAAAUGGUCCUGCUUACAGGAGAAAUGCCACCUCCAUUUCUUCAGAUGGGAGAAACUUGCUAGUCCAACAGCACAGAAUCUUAGAAUUAAAAAACCCAACACACUUAUGUAAGUACAGAGAGAGUGUUUGUCAAUGCUACUCAGAGAAUAUGAACUUCCAUGAUUGCCCAUCUCGACAAACAUACUCAAUCCAUUUUUUGAACUAAGCAUUAGGCAGUCACUGGUUUUCUUUCCAGCAAAAACUAGAAGAUGCUAGAUGAAGUCUGAAGACUAUAGAAAAAUUUGGAAAUUUAAUAUUUGGAAUUACUUUUGAUUUCAAUAGAUUAAAAUCCUAAGAAAUAGGCAAUGGCUGUGGUUCCACUAGAGGUUUC